UGCGUAGGCGGUUUAUUAAGUCAGUGGUGAAAGACGGUCGCUCAACGAUUGCAGUGCCAUUGAUACUGGUAGACUUGAGUGUGAUUGAGGUAGCUGGAAUGGAUAGUGUAGCGGUGAAAUGCAUAGAUAUCACACAGAACACCGAUUGCGAAGGCAUCUCACGAAUCCGCAAUUGACGCUGAGGCACGAAAGCGUGGGGAUCAAACAGGAUUAGAUACCCCUGUA
RNAcentral lists this ribosomal RNA (225 nucleotides) under uncultured Flectobacillus sp. Its description in RNAcentral is "partial 16S ribosomal RNA". It matches the Rfam family "Bacterial small subunit ribosomal RNA", at positions 568 to 792 of the family's 1533-position model. The record is from RNAcentral. Lineage: Bacteria; Pseudomonadati; Bacteroidota; Cytophagia; Cytophagales; Flectobacillaceae.